UUAAAAUAUAAAGUAAAGCCAUAGACAGCAGGUUUACCCGCCGAAGCCUUGGCGAAGGCGGGCAAAUAAAUCCUGCCGAGGAUUAAUAGUUUUUGCUGUCUAUGGAGACAGCUUUUUUAUUAAUAUG
This is a non-coding RNA of Parcubacteria bacterium DG_72, 127 nucleotides long. Lineage: Bacteria; Candidatus Parcubacteria. The record is from Rfam.